AGACGUCUACAUUAGACUACCCCUGUACGUCCCAGCCGUAAACUAUGCGCGUUAGGUGUAUCGGUGACCACGAGUUACCGAGGUGCCGAAGGGAAACCGUGAAACGUGCCGCCUGGGAAGUACGGUCGCAAGGCUAGAAACUUAAAGGAAUUGGCGGGGAGCACCACAACGGGUGGAGCCUGCGGUUUAAUUGGACUCAACGCCGGGAAGCUCACCGGAUAAGACAGCGGAAUGAUUGCCGGGCUGAAGACUCUGCAUGACUAGCUG
RNAcentral lists this ribosomal RNA (267 nucleotides) under uncultured archaeon. RNAcentral's name for it is "partial 16S ribosomal RNA". It matches the Rfam family "Archaeal small subunit ribosomal RNA", at positions 717 to 982 of the family's 1478-position model. The record is from RNAcentral.